This is a long non-coding RNA of Folsomia candida, 973 nucleotides long. RefSeq lists it as uncharacterized. The record is from RefSeq and is a predicted model, not a curated record. Lineage: Eukaryota; Metazoa; Arthropoda; Collembola; Entomobryomorpha; Isotomidae. The transcript is spliced from 4 exons.
UCUGGGUGCAGUUUCCUCUUAGUAAGGUGAAGGAGGCUCAAUAAAUAAAUUGACUUUCUACAUAUUACGUAGUUCUUUUUACGUAGUUUUUUAAAAAUAUAUUUGUAGCUAAAAUGUGAUACUGUGUAAUCUGGACAAAAUGAGGUUCAAUUUAGAACGUUAUCAUCUUUGGCCCAAUUUGGACAAGUGGAAAUCGUUUUUUACACCCGAAAAUAUCCAAAUCUCUUAACUUAAUAAACCCAUUAAGUCCAACAAUGCAAGUUAAAUAUUAGGACACAAUUCGACUUGUUAACGGUACGUGCAAGUUUUUGAGGUUAUACAUCGAAAUAUCGUCUAAAUUUGUACCCGAACAAUCAAAUCCUAAAUUUGUUUCGUUGGCGAAUGAUUACAAAACACGUUAAGAAUAUCAUGACUAAGCUCACAACAAUUGGCGUCCCAACAUUGUUCAGAAGAAUACAUACACGCAACUACAAAUAAUUCCACAUGCCGUAUCCAAAAACCACCCAACGAAAAAUGGAGGAGCAUUCCUGCAUUAGCUAAGAUAACUUUAAAGUUUUAUUUGUAGCUUAAUUUAAAUUUAUCGAGUACAUAUUUAGUUUUAAGAGCAAAUUCGUUUGCGCAGUUGCAAACCUUCUAAAUCUAUAUUAUAAGCUGGAAAAGUCAAAGGAUGUGUCUCUCCAUAUUCAUCUGACUUUCGAUCUGUCCUUUUUUAUUUAUUUACUUAAUUUUAGGUUCCAUUUCUACCAAUCAUUAUGUAGUAAGGUGAACAAGAUGACAAAUUCAUCAAUUUGUUCGCUUAACUUUAAAUCAUUUUAUUUUAAGUUAUUUAGUUUCUGGUGAAAUCCAUGAUUCCACGCGUUUUGAGCGAGUACUGGGUAUUAUGUAUUUGUUCAAGUAUUUAAAAAUCCUCUUUUCAUUCCAACUAUGCAAAGUUGGUACAGUUUAUUAAUAGAUUUGAACACUUACACAAAGC